AUACGUAGGUGGCAAGCGUUGUCCGGAAUUAUUGGGCGUAAAGCGCGCGCAGGCGGUUCCUUAAGUCUGAUGUGAAAGCCCACGGCUCAACCGUGGAGGAUCAUUGGAAACUGGGGGACUUGAGUGCAGAAGAGGAGAGCGGAAUUCCACGUGUAGCGGUGAAAUGCGUAGAGAUGUGGAGGAACACCAGUGGCGAAGGCGGCUCUCUGGUCUGUAACUGACGCUGAGGCGCGAAAGCGUGGGGAGCAAACAGGAUUAGAUACCCUGGUAGUCCACGCCGUAAACGAUGAGUGCUAAGUGUUAGAGGGUAUCCACCCUUUAGUGCUGUAGCUAACGCAUUAAGCACUCCGCCUGGGGAGUACGCUCGCAAGAGUGAA
This 377-nucleotide ribosomal RNA is filed under the name uncultured bacterium. RNAcentral's name for it is "bacterial SSU rRNA". It matches the Rfam family "Bacterial small subunit ribosomal RNA", at positions 523 to 898 of the family's 1533-position model. The record is from RNAcentral.